This is a small nucleolar RNA of Vulpes vulpes (red fox), 79 nucleotides long. The record is from Ensembl. NCBI's taxonomy places the organism in Eukaryota, Metazoa, Chordata, Mammalia, Carnivora, Canidae.
GAUCAAUGAUGAAAAUGACCAAAAAUGAGCAUCAGAAGAAUCUUCCAAUCUACCUGAUGGAUGAUCUCUAGUUCUGAGA